Molecule: long non-coding RNA, 2253 nt
Organism: Lutra lutra (Eurasian river otter)
Lineage: Eukaryota; Metazoa; Chordata; Mammalia; Carnivora; Mustelidae
Exons: 3
Source: RefSeq, a predicted model, not a curated record
GGCAGAUUCUUGUAUCAAAAGGUUUAAGCUGAGCUCAGGAUGUUCCCAUUCUUCCUUCCCCCCAACGGCACCCCUCAGGGGGCCAGAAUGGAGAAAAGCAAAUACUUCUGAGCAGCGGCUUUACUCAAGAAACCAUGCCAAAGCUGCGGCAUUUAAAACAGAGAGUGAAGCACUGUCCUGCCUUUUAGGACCCUACAGUCCUGUCACCGAGACAGGCUAUAGUAUCUGAAGGCAGCUGAUCACCCCAGGGAUGUUUUAUGCAGUGACAGCGUGGUACAAAGGAAAAUAAGGGAAGAUCAAGGUGGCUAGAGAGGUCAGGUCUGGGAGUGGUGGUCCUUGGUCUCGAGGAGCUUGCUGUCUUUGUGUCCUCUCUGCCAGAGGCAGGACACUGAGAGCAAGUUUGCUUUUUGGAGCAGAAGGAGUCCUUGGGUUGAUGGACUCUGGCGGGACUCCAAGAAGAUUCAAUAGCCAAUUCAAACAAGCAAAAUCUGGAGAAAAAUGGUAAAAUACCAGUAUUUUAAAAAUUCAACAUUGGAGAAAAAUUCACGGCAGAAGGAUGUCAUCAGUCCUGUACCUUUGAGAGAUCACAGCAGACACUGAUGGAAUUAGAAAAAUGCAGUGAAGUAAAUCAUGCAAGUUCCCAAACAGCCUGAGGAAAGACCCAUUUAUGAAGGACCAAGUUAUCUUCAGAAAAGAGAGAUGUGCCCUUCCUUGAAAAGGCUAUCUUCUAGAACUCUCGAAAGGUCAAGGACAAAAGUACUUUUCCAAAAGUAGCCUGACACAGGGCAGAGUGGCAUGCCUCUGCUGGAGGGACAGCUGGACUAGAGGCAUGGUGCUCUUUGGUUCCCUACUAGAUCCCGGGGUUGCUGGGAGGAAGAGUGUGGGUAGCCUGUUCACGUUAAGGGCAUGAAGAACAGAAGAGCACUUAGCAGAAGUAUAGGAAUCCUCAUUUUUGCCCACGGGCUGUAAUACUGCUUUUGGGCUCCAUGGAGCUAUGGAUUAAACACAACCAUUCUUGAGCGGUGUCGGGUGUGUGUGUGCAUGUGGGACGUCGGUUCUAUAACCUGCAGGGUCUGGGCUGUAGCACAGACUCUACGCAGCAGGAAGACUCUUUCCUCAGGUGCCAGGAAAGGGUGAAAAAGGAGCAAAAAGCCACAACUUAAAAAAGAAAAAAAAAAUCUUCCCAAAGCGAAGGUGUUUUAAGAAAACCUUUGCUGACGUUGAACUCGGGAAGGGUGAUUUGCUGGUUGACACCGUUAGCUCACUGUCCUUCUAUCAGAAAUACUGCACAACCCUGGAAAAAAUUUGCAGACAAAAUUCAGUUCUGUAAACACAGCUAGGCACCUUCUAGAUGCCAGAAAAUGCGGGGGAAAAGGUGAAUUGGGGAUGAUCUUUAACUUUGAGUUUAGAUUUGGGUAACUUAAGUAAAGAUUCUAUCAGAGAAUAUAACAAAAUGGGUAUUUCUAGGAAGUGGGAUUGUAGCCACUAUUAUUUUUGACGUUUCAGAAAAUAGGAAACCGGGUGAUCAGUUUUGAUGGCUCUGAAGUGAGUGCAUGGCGAGGAGAGUGGGGCUGCCUUUUUAAAUCCUUCAUGCUGUUCUUGUUGCCAAGCAUGGAAACUUGAAUUUACCUUUGAGAGUAGAUUUGCUUUGAUUGGGCCUUUGGUUCUUCUACAGGGAAGCUGAUCUUGCCAUUUAACGACGAUGAGGUGUAAUUUCCCGAUUGUCCGCCAUCCCACGGGCUCUUCCUUCUCAGUUCUCUUUGCUCACCCAACCCCAACUUGAAAGAGUUCUGCCUCUUCUGUCCACAGUCUUUACCGGGGCCACCUUGACCACACCCGGGGCUAUGAUUUAUGUCUACAGACAAGUUACUUCUCAGUCUCUGUCUCCAGGCCCAACCUCUGCUCUGAGCACUAGUCUCAUACAUUCUCCCCAGGCCCUUCCCAGAUGUACUUUGCAGUCUGUUCUCCACCCCUAGCUAGACUGGUUGGUGCUUAAAACCCUCCAGUGGGUUCUCAUUGUUGGAAGGAUAAAAUCCAAAAUUCUUAACAUGCCUACAUGAGCAUGCAUGACUGCCUCUUACUUGUCCCUUUGGUCUCCUCUCCUGGUGCUUUGUCCUUAAACCCUUUCUUCAGAACCGCCCAGCUCUUCCCCACCGCAGAGCCUCAAAUUCACCAUCCCCCUUUUCUAGAAUGUUCCAAUUCAGUCCUAGCGCUAGGCUAAGUGUUGCUUUCUCCGGGGGCCCCUCUCUAAUU